GGGGGGGGGGGGGGGGGGGGGGUGCGGGGGCGGGGCGGGGGGGGGGGCGGGGUUCGGGCUGGCGGCGGGUGGCGAACGGGUGGGGAGUGUAUCGGAGCGGGCCCAGUGGCGGGGGGUAACUACGCGAAGGCGUAGCUAAUACCGCAUACGCCCUACGGGGGCAAGCAGGGGAUCGUAAGACCUUGCACGAUUGGAGCGGCCGAUAUCGGAUUAGCUAGUUGGUGAGGUAACGGCUCACCAAGGCGACGGACCGUAGCUGGUUUGAGAGGACGACCAGCCACACUGGGACUGAGACACGGCCCAGACUCCUACGGGAGGCAGCAGUGGGGAAUUUUGGACAAUGGGGGCAACCCUGAUCCAGCCAUCCCGCGUGUGCGAUGAAGGCCUUCGGGUUGUAAAGCACUUUUGGCAGGAAAGAAACGUCGCGGGCUAAUACCCCGUGGAACUGACGGUACCUGCAGAAUAAGCACCGGCUAACUACGUG
RNAcentral lists this ribosomal RNA (484 nucleotides) under uncultured bacterium. RNAcentral describes it as "partial 16S ribosomal RNA". It matches the Rfam family "Bacterial small subunit ribosomal RNA", at positions 38 to 507 of the family's 1533-position model. The record is from RNAcentral.